This 252-nucleotide ribosomal RNA is filed under the name uncultured bacterium. RNAcentral's name for it is "partial 16S ribosomal RNA". It matches the Rfam family "Bacterial small subunit ribosomal RNA", at positions 524 to 776 of the family's 1533-position model. The record is from RNAcentral.
UACGUAGGGGGCAAGCGUUAUCCGGAAUUAUUGGGCGUAAAGAGUACGUAGGUGGCAACCUAAGCGCAGGGUUUAAGGCAAUGGCUCAACCAUUGUUCGCCCUGCGAACUGGGAUGCUUGAGUGCAGGAGUGGAAAGCGGAAUUCCUAGUGUAGCGGUGAAAUGCGUAGAUAUUAGGAGGAACACCAGUGGCGAAGGCGGCUUUCUGGACUGUAACUGACACUGAGGUACGAAAGCGUGGGGAGCAAACAGG